GGGUUGUGAGGUUAAGCGACUAAGCGUACACGGUGGAUGCCCUGGCAGUCAGAGGCGAUGAAGGACGUGCUAAUCUGCGAUAAGCGUCGGUAAGGUGAUAUGAACCGUUAUAACCGGCGAUUUCCGAAUGGGGAAACCCAGUGUGUUUCGACACACUAUCAUUAACUGAAUCCAUAGGUUAAUGAGGCGAACCGGGGGAACUGAAACAUCUAAGUACCCCGAGGAAAAGAAAUCAACCGAGAUUCCCCCAGUAGCGGCGAGCGAACGGGGAGCAGCCCAGAGCCUGAAUCAGUGUGUGUGUUAGUGGAAGCGUCUGGAAAGGCGCGCGAUACAGGGUGACAGCCCCGUACACAAAAAUGCACAUGCUGUGAGCUCGAUGAGUAGGGCGGGACACGUGGUAUCCUGUCUGAAUAUGGGGGGACCAUCCUCCAAGGCUAAAUACUCCUGACUGACCGAUAGUGAACCAGUACCGUGAGGGAAAGGCGAAAAGAACCCCGGCGAGGGGAGUGAAAAAGAACCUGAAACCGUGUACGUACAAGCAGUGGGAGCACGCUUAGGCGUGUGACUGCGUACCUUUUGUAUAAUGGGUCAGCGACUUAUAUUCUGUAGCAAGGUUAACCGAAUAGGGGAGCCGAAGGGAAACCGAGUCUUAACUGGGCGUUAAGUUGCAGGGUAUAGACCCGAAACCCGGUGAUCUAGCCAUGGGCAGGUUGAAGGUUGGGUAACACUAACUGGAGGACCGAACCGACUAAUGUUGAAAAAUUAGCGGAUGACUUGUGGCUGGGGGUGAAAGGCCAAUCAAACCGGGAGAUAGCUGGUUCUCCCCGAAAGCUAUUUAGGUAGCGCCUCGUGAAUUCAUCUCCGGGGGUAGAGCACUGUUUCGGCAAGGGGGUCAUCCCGACUUACCAACCCGAUGCAAACUGCGAAUACCGGAGAAUGUUAUCACGGGAGACACACGGCGGGUGCUAACGUCCGUCGUGAAGAGGGAAACAACCCAGACCGCCAGCUAAGGUCCCAAAGUCAUGGUUAAGUGGGAAACGAUGUGGGAAGGCCCAGACAGCCAGGAUGUUGGCUUAGAAGCAGCCAUCAUUUAAAGAAAGCGUAAUAGCUCACUGGUCGAGUCGGCCUGCGCGGAAGAUGUAACGGGGCUAAACCAUGCACCGAAGCUGCGGCAGCGACGCUUAUGCGUUGUUGGGUAGGGGAGCGUUCUGUAAGCCUGUGAAGGUGUGCUGUGAGGCAUGCUGGAGGUAUCAGAAGUGCGAAUGCUGACAUAAGUAACGAUAAAGCGGGUGAAAAGCCCGCUCGCCGGAAGACCAAGGGUUCCUGUCCAACGUUAAUCGGGGCAGGGUGAGUCGACCCCUAAGGCGAGGCCGAAAGGCGUAGUCGAUGGGAAACAGGUUAAUAUUCCUGUACUUGGUGUUACUGCGAAGGGGGGACGGAGAAGGCUAUGUUGGCCGGGCGACGGUUGUCCCGGUUUAAGCGUGUAGGCUGGUUUUCCAGGCAAAUCCGGAAAAUCAAGGCUGAGGCGUGAUGACGAAGCACUACGGUGCUGAAGCAACAAAUGCCCUGCUUCCAGGAAAAGCCUCUAAGCAUCAGGUAACAUCAAAUCGUACCCCAAACCGACACAGGUGGUCAGGUAGAGAAUACCAAGGCGCUUGAGAGAACUCGGGUGAAGGAACUAGGCAAAAUGGUGCCGUAACUUCGGGAGAAGGCACGCUGAUAUGUAGGUGAAGUCCCUCGCGGAUGGAGCUGAAAUCAGUCGAAGAUACCAGCUGGCUGCAACUGUUUAUUAAAAACACAGCACUGUGCAAACACGAAAGUGGACGUAUACGGUGUGACGCCUGCCCGGUGCCGGAAGGUUAAUUGAUGGGGUUAGCGGUAACGCGAAGCUCUUGAUCGAAGCCCCGGUAAACGGCGGCCGUAACUAUAACGGUCCUAAGGUAGCGAAAUUCCUUGUCGGGUAAGUUCCGACCUGCACGAAUGGCGUAAUGAUGGCCAGGCUGUCUCCACCCGAGACUCAGUGAAAUUGAACUCGCUGUGAAGAUGCAGUGUACCCGCGGCAAGACGGAAAGACCCCGUGAACCUUUACUAUAGCUUGACACUGAACAUUGAGCCUUGAUGUGUAGGAUAGGUGGGAGGCUUAGAAGUGUGGACGCCAGUCUGCAUGGAGCCGACCUUGAAAUACCACCCUUUAAUGUUUGAUGUUCUAACGU
This 2213-nucleotide ribosomal RNA is filed under the name Escherichia coli. Its description in RNAcentral is "bacterial LSU rRNA". It matches the Rfam family "Bacterial large subunit ribosomal RNA", at positions 1 to 2228 of the family's 2925-position model. The record is from RNAcentral. Lineage: Bacteria; Pseudomonadati; Pseudomonadota; Gammaproteobacteria; Enterobacterales; Enterobacteriaceae.